RNAcentral lists this microRNA (22 nucleotides) under Parasteatoda tepidariorum (common house spider). RNAcentral describes it as "pte-miR-11954-3p". Lineage: Eukaryota; Metazoa; Arthropoda; Arachnida; Araneae; Theridiidae. The record is from miRBase by way of RNAcentral.
AGAGUCCCAGUACACCAACCCA